This 566-nucleotide ribosomal RNA is filed under the name uncultured bacterium. RNAcentral describes it as "partial 16S ribosomal RNA". It matches the Rfam family "Bacterial small subunit ribosomal RNA", at positions 355 to 912 of the family's 1533-position model. The record is from RNAcentral.
UGGGGAAUAUUGCACAAUGGGCGCAAGCCUGAUGCAGCCAUGCCGCGUGUGUGAAGAAGGCCUUCGGGUUGUAAAGCACUUUCAGCGAGGAGGAAGGUGGUGAGCUUAAUACGCUCAUCAAUUGACGUUACUCGCAGAAGAAGCACCGGCUAACUCCGUGCCAGCAGCCGCGGUAAUACGGAGGGUGCAAGCGUUAAUCGGAAUUACUGGGCGUAAAGCGCACGCAGGCGGUUUGUUAAGUCAGAUGUGAAAUCCCCGGGCUCAACCUGGGAACUGCAUUUGAAACUGGCAAGCUAGAGUCUCGUAGAGGGGGGUAGAAUUCCAGGUGUAGCGGUGAAAUGCGUAGAGAUCUGGAGGAAUACCGGUGGCGAAGGCGGCCCCCUGGACGAAGACUGACGCUCAGGUGCGAAAGCGUGGGGCAGCAAACAGGAUUAGAUACCCUGGUAGUCCACGCUGUAAACGAUGUCGAUUUGGAGGUUGUGCCCUUGAGGCGUGGCUUCCGGAGCUAACGCGUUAAAUCGACCGCCUGGGGAGUACGGUCGCAAGGUUAAAACUCAAAUGAAUUG